This is a non-coding RNA of Salmo salar (Atlantic salmon), 54 nucleotides long. Lineage: Eukaryota; Metazoa; Chordata; Actinopteri; Salmoniformes; Salmonidae. The record is from Rfam.
AGCACUCUCUACUGUAAGUCACUCUGGAUAAGAGCGUCUGCUAAAGGACUAAAA